RNAcentral lists this ribosomal RNA (573 nucleotides) under Diddensiella caesifluorescens. RNAcentral describes it as "eukaryotic LSU rRNA". It matches the Rfam family "Eukaryotic large subunit ribosomal RNA", at positions 62 to 648 of the family's 3401-position model. The record is from RNAcentral. Lineage: Eukaryota; Fungi; Ascomycota; Dipodascomycetes; Dipodascales; Trichomonascaceae.
AAACCAACAGGGAUUGCCUUAGUAACUGCGAGUGAAGCGGCAAAAGCUCAAAUUUGAAAUCUGGCGUCUUUGGGCGUCCGAGUUGUAAUUUGAAGAAGGUAACUUUGGGAUUGGCCCUUGCAUAUGUUCCUUGGAACAGGACGUCAUAGAGGGUGAGAAUCCCGUAUAUGGUGAGGUGUCCAUUCCCUUGUAAAGUGCCUUCGAAGAGUCGAGUUGUUUGGGAAUGCAGCUCUAAGUGGGUGGUAAAUUCCAUCUAAAGCUAAAUAUUGGCGAGAGACCGAUAGCGAACAAGUACAGUGAUGGAAAGAUGAAAAGAACUUUGAAAAGAGAGUGAAAAAGUACGUGAAAUUGUUGAAAGGGAAGGGCUUGAAAUCAGACUUGGUAUUCAGUGAUCAACUGCCUCUCGGGGUUGUGCACUCGCUGUUUACUGGGCCAGCAUCGGUUUGAACGGUGAGAUAAUAACUUUGGAACGUGGCUCGUCUUCGGGUGAGUGUUAUAGCCUUUGUUGAUAUCACCAGUUUGGACCGAGGACCGCGCGAAAGCUAGGAUGCUGGCGUAAUGAUUUUAAGCCAC